UACGAAGGGGGCUAGCGUUGUCGUGAAUCACUGGGCGUAAAGGGUGCGUAGGCGGGUCUUUUAAGUCAGGGGUGAAAUCCUGGAGCUCAACUCCAGAACUGCCUUUGAUACUGAAGAUCUUGAGUUCGGGAGAGGUGAGUGGAACUGCGAGUGUAGAGGUGAAAUUCGUAGAUAUUCGCAAGAACACCAGUGGCGAAGGCGGCUCACUGGCCCGAUACUGACGCUGAGGCACGAAAGCGUGGGGAGCAAACAGG
RNAcentral lists this ribosomal RNA (254 nucleotides) under uncultured bacterium. RNAcentral's name for it is "partial 16S ribosomal RNA". It matches the Rfam family "Bacterial small subunit ribosomal RNA", at positions 524 to 776 of the family's 1533-position model. The record is from RNAcentral.